GGUCAAGCGAACAAGUGCAUGUGGUGGAUGCCUUGGCGAUCACAGGCGAUGAAGGACGCGGUAGCCUGCGAAAAGCCCCGGGGAGCUGGCAAACAAGCUUUGAUCCGGGGAUGUCCGAAUGGGGAAACCCACUCCUUUUGGAGUAUCCAUGACUGAAUACAUAGGUCAUGUGAAGCGAACGCGGUGAACUGAAACAUCUAAGUAACCGCAGGAAAAGAAAUCAACCGAGAUUCCCAAAGUAGUGGCGAGCGAAAUGGGAUGAGCCUUGUACUCUUUAUUUGUAUUGUUAGCCGAACGCUCUGGAAAGUGCGGCCAUAGCAGGUGAUAGCCCUGUAGGCGAAAACAGUAUGAAAGAACUAGGUGUACGACAAGUAGGGCGGGACACGUGAAAUCCUGUCUGAAGAUGGGGGGACCAUCCUCCAAGGCUAAAUACUCGUGAUCGACCGAUAGUGAACCAGUACCGUGAGGGAAAGGCGAAAAGAACCCCGGGAGGGGAGUGAAAUAGAUCCUGAAACCGCAUGCAUACAAACAGUCGGAGCCUCGUAAGGGGUGACGGCGUACCUUUUGUAUAAUGGGUCAGCGACUUACGUUCAGUAGCAAGCUUAACCGUAUAGGGCAGGCGUAGCGAAAGCGAGUCCGAAUAGGGCGUUCAGUUGCUGGGCGUAGACCCGAAACCAGGUGAUCUAUCCAUGGCCAGGAUGAAGGUGCGGUAACACGUACUGGAGGUCCGAACCCACUAACGUUGAAAAGUUAGGGGAUGAGCUGUGGAUAGGGGUGAAAGGCUAAACAAACCUGGAAAUAGCUGGUUCUCUCCGAAAACUAUUUAGGUAGUGCCUCGUGUCUCACCUUCGGGGGUAGAGCACUGUCAUGGUUGGGGGGUCUAUUGCAGAUUACCCCGCCAUAGCAAACUCCGAAUACCGAAGAGUGCAAUCACGGGAGACAGACAUCGGGUGCUAACGUCCGGUGUCAAGAGGGAAACAACCCAGACCGCCAGCUAAGGUCCCCAAAUAUGGCUAAGUGGGAAACGAAGUGGGAAGGCUAAAACAGUCAGGAGGUUGGCUUAGAAGCAGCCACCCUUUAAAGAAAGCGUAAUAGCUCACUGAUCGAGUCGUCCUGCGCGGAAGAUGUAACGGGGCUAAGCCAUAUACCGAAGCUGCGGAUGCGUGCUUGCACGCAUGGUAGGAGAGCGUUCCGUAAGCCUGCGAAGGUGCCUUGUAAAGGGUGCUGGAGGUAUCGGAAGUGCGAAUGCUGACAUGAGUAGCGAUAAAGGGGGUGAAAGGCCCCCUCGCCGUAAGCCCAAGGUUUCCUACGCAACGUUCAUCGGCGUAGGGUGAGUCGGCCCCUAAGGCGAGGCAGAAAUGCGUAGCUGAUGGGAAGCAGGUCAAUAUUCCUGCACCAUUGUUAGAUGCGAUGGGGGGACGGAUCGCGGAAGGUUGUCCGGGUGUUGGACGUCCCGGUCGCUGCAUUGGAGAAGGCGCUUAGGCAAAUCCGGGCGCAGGAUUCAAGGGUGUGGCGCGAGCGACUUCGGUCGCGAAGCAAUUGGAAGUGGUUCCAAGAAAAGCCUCUAAGCUUCAGUCUAACGAUGACCGUACCGCAAACCGACACAGGUGGGCGAGAUGAGUAUUCUAAGGCGCUUGAGAGAACUCGGGAGAAGGAACUCGGCAAAUUGGUACCGUAACUUCGGGAUAAGGUACGCCCUUGUAGCUUGACUGGCCUGCGCCAGGAGGGUGAAGGGGUUGCAAUAAACUGGUGGCUGCGACUGUUUAAUAAAAACACAGCACUCUGCAAACACGAAAGUGGACGUAUAGGGUGUGACGCCUGCCCGGUGCCGGAAGAUUAAAUGAUGGGGUGCAAGCUCUUGAUUGAAGUCCCGGUAAACGGCGGCCGUAACUAUAACGGUCCUAAGGUAGCGAAAUUCCUUGUCGGGUAAGUUCCGACCUGCACGAAUGGCGUAACGAUGGCCACACUGUCUCCUCCCGAGACUCAGCGAAGUUGAAGUGUUUGUGAUGAUGCAAUCUACCCGCGGCUAGACGGAAAGACCCCAUGAACCUUUACUGUAGCUUUGCAUUGGACUUUGAACCGAUCUGUGUAGGAUAGGUGGGAGGCUAUGAAACCGGAACGCUAGUUUCGGUGGAGCCGUCCUUGAAAUACCACCCUGGUUUGUUUGAGGUUCUAACCUUGGUCCGUGAUCCGGAUCGGGGACAGUGCAUGGUAGGCAGUUUGACUGGGGCGGUCUCCUCCCAAAGGGUAACGGAGGAGUACGAAGGUACGCUAGGUACGGUCGGAAAUCGUGCUGAUAGUGCAAUGGCAUAAGCGUGCUUAACUGCGAGACCGACAAGUCGAGCAGGUGCGAAAGCAGGUCAUAGUGAUCCGGUGGUUCUGUAUGGAAGGGCCAUCGCUCAACGGAUAAAAGGUACUCUGGGGAUAACAGGCUGAUACCGCCCAAGAGUUCAUAUCGACGGCGGUGUUUGGCACCUCGAUGUCGGCUCAUCUCAUCCUGGGGCUGUAGCCGGUCCCAAGGGUAUGGCUGUUCGCCAUUUAAAGAGGUACGUGAGCUGGGUUUAAAACGUCGUGAGACAGUUUGGUCCCUAUCUGCCGUGGGCGUUGGAUAUUUGAAGGGGGCUGCUCCUAGUACGAGAGGACCGGAGUGGACGAACCUCUGGUGUACCGGUUGUGACGCCAGUCGCAUCGCCGGGUAGCUAUGUUCGGAAGAGAUAACCGCUGAAAGCAUCUAAGCGGGAAACUCGCCUUAAGAUGAGAUAUCCCUGGAGGCUUGACCUCCUUGAAGGGUCGUUCGAGACCAGGACGUUGAUAGGUCGGGUGUGUAAGCGCAGUAAUGCGUUCAGCUAACCGAUACUAAUUGCCCGUAAGGCUUGAUCCU
This 2881-nucleotide ribosomal RNA is filed under the name Burkholderia multivorans. RNAcentral's name for it is "23S ribosomal RNA". It matches the Rfam family "Bacterial large subunit ribosomal RNA". The record is from RNAcentral. Lineage: Bacteria; Pseudomonadati; Pseudomonadota; Betaproteobacteria; Burkholderiales; Burkholderiaceae.